This 253-nucleotide unclassified non-coding RNA is filed under the name uncultured Pirellulaceae bacterium. RNAcentral describes it as "contains 16S-23S intergenic spacer region". It matches the Rfam family "Bacterial small subunit ribosomal RNA", at positions 524 to 776 of the family's 1533-position model. The record is from RNAcentral. Lineage: Bacteria; Pseudomonadati; Planctomycetota; Planctomycetia; Pirellulales; Pirellulaceae.
GACGAACCUUGCUAACGUUAUUCGGAAUUACUGGGCUUAAAGGGUGCGUAGGCGGUGCGGAAAGUUGGGUGUGAAAUCCCUCGGCUCAACCGAGGAACUGCGCCCAAAACUACCGUGCUAGAGGAAGAUAGAGGUGAGCGGAACUCAGGGUGGAGCGGUGAAAUGCGUUGAUAUCCUGAGGAACACCGGUGGCGAAAGCGGCUCACUGGGUCUUAUCUGACGCUGAGGCACGAAAGCUAGGGUAGCGAACGGG